GCAAGUUUAGCUCAGUUGGUAGAGCAUGAGGCUGUGACCCUCAGGGGUUCGAGCCCCAUGUUCAGCG
Non-coding RNA from Podarcis lilfordi (Lilford's wall lizard), 67 nucleotides. The record is from the annotation of a GenBank genome assembly. NCBI's taxonomy places the organism in Eukaryota, Metazoa, Chordata, Lepidosauria, Squamata, Lacertidae.